RNAcentral lists this ribosomal RNA (253 nucleotides) under uncultured bacterium. RNAcentral's name for it is "partial 16S ribosomal RNA". It matches the Rfam family "Bacterial small subunit ribosomal RNA", at positions 524 to 776 of the family's 1533-position model. The record is from RNAcentral.
GCCGGAGGAUGCAAGUGUUAUCCGGAAUCACUGGGCGUAAAGCGUCUGUAGGUGGUUUAGCAAGUCUGCUGUUAAAGCUUGAAGCUUAACUUCAAAAAUGCAGUGGAAACUUCUAGACUCGAGUGUGGUAGGGGUAGAGGGAAUUUCCAGUGGAGCGGUGAAAUGCGUAGAUAUUGGAAAGACCACCAAUGGCGAAGGCACUCUACUGGGCCAUAACUGACACUGAGAGACGAAAGCUAGGGGAGCAAAUGGG